Poecile atricapillus (Black-capped chickadee) is the source of this 277-nucleotide long non-coding RNA. RefSeq lists it as uncharacterized. The transcript is spliced from 3 exons. NCBI's taxonomy places the organism in Eukaryota, Metazoa, Chordata, Aves, Passeriformes, Paridae. The record is from RefSeq and is a predicted model, not a curated record.
ACUACAUGUGCAUUUCCAGAGCUGCAGUUCCACGGGGAGCUCUCAGUUACCUGGGAACAGAGGCUGACUCCCACCUGGCUACACCCUCCUGUCAGGGACUUGCAGAGUUCCCGUGUCAUCGUUCCAUCCAUGGGCUUUGUGAUGACAGCAACUGCACGGUGUGAGAGCAGCAGCCAAAGAACUGGAGACACAGAAGGAGCAUCUGUCUGACUGUUGAAGGGUAAAGGAGCCCCUUUUCCUCAGAAGUGUUGAAAUAAAGAUGUUACUAUUUUUUAAA